RNAcentral lists this ribosomal RNA (213 nucleotides) under uncultured bacterium. RNAcentral's name for it is "partial 16S ribosomal RNA". It matches the Rfam family "Bacterial small subunit ribosomal RNA", at positions 1289 to 1500 of the family's 1533-position model. The record is from RNAcentral.
CAGUUCAGAUUGCAGGCUGCAACCCGCCCUGCAUGAAGUCGGAAUUGCUAGUAAUCGCGGAUCAGCAUGCCGCGGUGAAUACGUUCCCGGGCCUUGUACACACCGCCCGUCACACCAUGAGAGCCGGGGGGACCCGAAGUCCGUAGUCUAACCGCAAGGGGGGCGCGGCCGAAGGUGGGUCCGGUAAUUGGGGUGAAGUCGUAACAAGGUAAC